RNAcentral lists this ribosomal RNA (114 nucleotides) under Pseudopedinella elastica. RNAcentral describes it as "partial Eukaryotic large subunit ribosomal RNA". It matches the Rfam family "Eukaryotic large subunit ribosomal RNA", at positions 352 to 464 of the family's 3401-position model. The record is from RNAcentral. Lineage: Eukaryota; Dictyochophyceae; Pedinellales.
CGUGAGGGAAAGUUGAAAAGAACUCUGAAUAGAGAGUUAAAUAGUACGUGAAACCGUAUAGAGGUUAAGCUCGUUGAAUCUAAAUAUCUGGCCGCUGGAAUUCAAUAUUGGAGC